UACCCCUGGCAAUGGGCAAAGAGACACCUUGGUGUUGUUCUUCUGUCAGUCAGGGGACGGCAGAGCGGAUAGCAUCCUUCGUUCAUCCUAGCCUGAUGCCUGGCUUGGUGGCCAAAGCUGUCUUAUGUCUAGGACUCAGAA
Small nucleolar RNA from Rattus norvegicus (Norway rat), 141 nucleotides. Ensembl annotates it as small nucleolar RNA SNORA48. The record is from Ensembl. NCBI's taxonomy places the organism in Eukaryota, Metazoa, Chordata, Mammalia, Rodentia, Muridae.